GAGGUGACAUUGGCACCGAAAGAAAAGGGUAAAUCGCCCAAGGAUCUCAGUUUUACGGACGAGGCGACAGAACUGAGCACUGUCUAAGUUCCUCCUGGAUGGCUUUCAAAAUUCCAACUACCAUCGAGGUUCUCUGCCUCAGUAGAGUUGGAUAUCCAGAAGGGAUAUCUC
This is a long non-coding RNA of Pocillopora damicornis (cauliflower coral), 171 nucleotides long. NCBI's taxonomy places the organism in Eukaryota, Metazoa, Cnidaria, Anthozoa, Scleractinia, Pocilloporidae. The record is from RefSeq and is a predicted model, not a curated record.